RNAcentral lists this ribosomal RNA (765 nucleotides) under uncultured bacterium. RNAcentral describes it as "bacterial SSU rRNA". It matches the Rfam family "Bacterial small subunit ribosomal RNA", at positions 8 to 762 of the family's 1533-position model. The record is from RNAcentral.
AGAGUUUGAUCCUGGCUCAGAGUGAACGCUGGCGGUAGCCCUACCACACGCAAGUCGAACGGCAGCACAGGAGAGCUUGCUCUUCUGGGUGGCGAGUGGCGGACGGGUGAGGAAUACAUCGGAAUCUACUUUUUCGUGGGGGAUAACGUAGGGAAACUUACGCUAAUACCGCAUACGACCUACGGGUGAAAGCAGGGGAUCUUCGGACCUUGCGCGAUUGAAUGAGCCGAUGUCGGAUUAGCUAGUUGGCGGGGUAAAGGCCCACCAAGGCGACGAUCCGUAGCUGGUCUGAGAGGAUGAUCAACCACACUGGAACUGAGACACGGUCCAGACUCCUACGGGAGGCAGCAGUGGGGAAUAUUGGACAAUGGGCGCAAGCCUGAUCCAGCCAUACCGCGUGGGUGAAGAAGGCCUUCGGGUUGUAAAGCCCUUUUGUUGGGAAAGAAAUCCAGCUGGUUAAUACCCGGUUGAGAUGACGGUACCCAAAGAAUAAGCACCGGCUAACUUCGUGCCAGCAGCCGCGGUAAUACGAAGGGUGCAAGCGUUACUCGGAAUUACUGGGCGUAAAGCGUGCGUAGGUGGUCGUUUAAGUCCGUUGUGAAAGCCUGGGCUCAACCUGGGAACUGCAGUGGAUACUGGGCGACUAGAAUGUGGUAGAGGGUAGCGGAAUUCCUGGUGUAGCAGUGAAAUGCGUAGAGAUCAGGAGGAACAUCCAUGGCGAAGGCAGCUACCUGGACCAACAUUGACACUGAGGCACGAAAGCGU